UGUCCAUUUGAAGAUUUAAAUGGUCUGGCCUGCUCACUGAUAAAAUUAUUUAAGAGCCGCGGUAUAUUGACCGUGCAAAGGUAGCAUAAUCAUUAGGGGUUUAAUUGGAACCUGGAAUGAAGGGUCGGACAAAGGAAGAACUGUCUGUUAAGGUUUAAUUUGAAGUUUACUUUUAAGUGAGAAGGCUUAAAUAUAUCAAAGGGACGAUAAGACCCUAUAAAGCUUUAUAAAUAAUUUGAAUUUAAUUAAUUUAAAUAAUAAAAGUCAAAUUUAAUUAUUUUAUUUUGUUGGGGUGAUAUGAGUAUAAUUUUAGUUAACUGCUUAAAAAAAAUUCUUUUAUAAAAGGUUUAAAAAUGAAUGAUCCUUUUUAAAGACUAGAAAACUAAGUUACUUUAGGGAUAACAGCGUUAUUUUUUUUGAGAGUUCAUAUCGAAAAAAAAGAUUGCGACCUCGAUGUUGAAUUAAAAUAUCUACAUAAUGUAGCCGUUAUGAAAGAGG
RNAcentral lists this ribosomal RNA (498 nucleotides) under Soliella flava. RNAcentral's name for it is "partial large subunit ribosomal RNA". It matches the Rfam family "Archaeal large subunit ribosomal RNA", at positions 1916 to 2641 of the family's 2987-position model. Lineage: Eukaryota; Metazoa; Arthropoda; Malacostraca; Decapoda; Xanthidae. The record is from RNAcentral.